CCCUAUGGGGUGCAGCAGGCAGAAUGAUAAAGCGCUUUUGUAUCUUCAACAGGCGCUUACACUUUCUAAUGAGCUCGGAUACAACAAAGGUAUUGCGCGGAGCUUUCUCUGGCAGGGAAGGGUGUUUUACUACAAGGAUGAGUAUGCCUUGGCGGAAUCCUAUUUAUCGAAGGCCAGAGAAAUACUUGAAAAGACAGCCGAUGUGCGCGAUCUGGCGUUUUAUCACUUCGCAGCCGGAUCUUUAUAUGAUCUGACCGGCAAUUUCAUCAUGGCAGUACAGGAAUACCAGGAGGCUGCCCGCCUUUCUGCCUCCGGAGGGGACGAAAGUCUGCGGUCGGGCAGUCUUGCCAGUCUGGGUUCCGUAUAUAACCGGCUGAAGGAGCCUGACAAUGCGCUGGUUUAUCUCAGGGAGGAAUUGGCGGGAGGGC
Molecule: ribosomal RNA, 428 nt
Filed under: uncultured prokaryote
Description: partial 16S ribosomal RNA
Source: RNAcentral